CUCGGUGUAGUUUAGUGGGUAUAAUACGUGACAGCUGGUUCACGAGACGUAGGUGUGAUUCCUACCAUCGGGC
Cenococcum geophilum 1.58 is the source of this 73-nucleotide non-coding RNA. Lineage: Eukaryota; Fungi; Ascomycota; Dothideomycetes; Gloniales; Gloniaceae. The record is from the annotation of a GenBank genome assembly.